GCUAGGAUAGCUCAGUCUGUAGAGCAUUAGACUCUUAAUCUCAAGGCUCUGGGUUUGAGCCCCAUGUUGGGCA
Non-coding RNA from Podarcis lilfordi (Lilford's wall lizard), 73 nucleotides. Lineage: Eukaryota; Metazoa; Chordata; Lepidosauria; Squamata; Lacertidae. The record is from the annotation of a GenBank genome assembly.